CCCAGUUAAAUUAGAAUCACGAACAACAACUAACUGGGUUUGCUUAAGUAUAGCCCAUGAAGUAUUUGGGGCAUACUUGUGCUAAAAAUAAUGACCUAUUUGCAAUUCUAAUGUAUCUAAGCACCUGUA
Molecule: microRNA precursor, 129 nt
Filed under: Mus caroli (Ryukyu mouse)
Lineage: Eukaryota; Metazoa; Chordata; Mammalia; Rodentia; Muridae
Description: miRNA (MGP_CAROLIEiJ_G0007910.1)
Source: RNAcentral